This 489-nucleotide ribosomal RNA is filed under the name Triticum aestivum (bread wheat). Its description in RNAcentral is "partial small subunit ribosomal RNA". Lineage: Eukaryota; Viridiplantae; Streptophyta; Magnoliopsida; Poales; Poaceae. The record is from RNAcentral.
AUGUCAAAAGCAAAUUGGAGUCCAGAAAUGACCACCAUUUUUUGCAAUCUCGCUACUAAGGAGAAGGAAAAGGGGAAUAGGCCUACCAAAUUUUUGAACCCUACUGGAUACAAGAAUAUAGAAGUUGGCUUCUUUCAGCAAACCGGAAAACUUUACAGUAGGCUGCAGUUCAAAAAUAAAUGGGGCAGUUUGAGGACCUUGUAUAGGGAUUGGCUGAUCCUAAAGAAUACAUCUACUGGACUUGGUUGGAAUGAUGAAACGAACACCGUGAGUGCUGAUGACGAAUGUAAGAAUAGUGUUGCUGCUGAAAUUGAAAAGAUAAUGGAAGAAGUUGUGGCAUGUGGAGCGAAUGAAGCAAGUGAUGAGUACUUCAUAGCAACCAAGUUGUUUGUGAAGUUUGAAAAUCGUUGUUUCUUUAACAAUAUGAAGACUAGCGACGGGAAGAAUAAUUGGCUUAGGAGGAUGUAUGAAGAGCGAAAUAGGCAUUAG